RNAcentral lists this ribosomal RNA (505 nucleotides) under uncultured Glomus. RNAcentral's name for it is "SSU rRNA". It matches the Rfam family "Eukaryotic small subunit ribosomal RNA", at positions 569 to 1077 of the family's 1831-position model. Lineage: Eukaryota; Fungi; Glomeromycota; Glomeromycetes; Glomerales; Glomeraceae. The record is from RNAcentral.
AGCAGCCGCGGUAAUUCCAGCUCCAAUAGCGUAUAUUAAAGUUGCUGCAGUUAAAAAGCUCGUAGUUGAAUUUCGGGAUCAUCAUGUCGGUCGUGCCUCGGUACGUACUGGCAUUGUUGGUUUCUACCUUCUGACGAACCAUGAUGUCAUUUAUUUGGUGUCGUGGGAAGUCAGGACUGUUACUUUGAAAAAUUAGAGUGUUUAAAGCAGGCUCACGCUUGAAUACAUUAGCAUGGAAUAAUGAAAUAGGACGUUUGAUUCUAUUUUGUUGGUUUCUAGGAUCGACGUAAUGAUUAAUAGGGAUUUAGUGGGGGCACUAGUAUUCAAUUGUCAGAGGUGAAAUUCUUGGAUUUAUUGAAGACUAACUACUGCGAAAGCAUUUGCCAAGGAUGUUUUCAUUAAUCAAGAACGAAAGUUAGGGGAUCGAAGACGGUCAGAUACCGUCGUAGUCUUAACCAUAAACUAUGCCGACUAGGGAUCGGAUGAUGUUAAUUUUUAAUGACUC